Molecule: long non-coding RNA, 979 nt
Organism: Gorilla gorilla gorilla (western lowland gorilla)
Lineage: Eukaryota; Metazoa; Chordata; Mammalia; Primates; Hominidae
Exons: 2
Source: RefSeq, a predicted model, not a curated record
ACCCAGGCUGGAGUGCAAUGGCAUGAUCUUGGCUCACUGCAACCUCCAUCUCUCGGGUUCAAACAAUUCUCCUGGCUCAGCCUCCCGAGUAGCUGGGAUUAUAGGCACAUACCACCAUGACCGGCUAAUUUUUGUGUUUUUAGUAGAGACGGGGUUUGACCAUGUUGGCCAGGAUGGUCUUGAUCUCCUGACCUCAUGAUCCACCCGCCUCGGCCUCCCGAAGUGCUGGGAUUACAGGCAUGAGCCAUUGCGCCCGGCCAUUAGGCCCUUUUAACAGGGGCUGUGACUUUUAGUAGAGAGACACAGUUAAUGUUGCCAUCUGGCUAUAAAGGGGCUAGGAGACAACUACUCCAACUUACUCUCUUCCUGCUAUUCAAAUCCCCUUCUACAGCUUCCAAUUGGCUAUACCCUAAUAGAAGAUGAGGUCAAGACAAGAGAAUGAAGGCCAAAUUGAGUUUCCUUGAGCAACUCAUUUAACGUUAAGAAUCAAGAUGGUGCCCAAGCUCAGAUGACAUCCUUUCUAACCCAGUUGGAAGGCUCCUCUCAUAGGAGGUGUGAAAGAAAAGAGAAUGGAAAGGAACAGGCUCUUCUCUUGAAGAAAAGCCCUCAGUCCAUGCAGCCAGACAUUGUCUACAUAUGCCUCUCUAUGGGAUGCUGAGAGACCAAGGGCUUCCCACAUAGACAUGUGAGAAAUACCGGCUUUAAGUAUACUAUACUCAGUGUCAAAAGCUUUCAGGAUGCAAGAAAUUCCUGAAUUUGAGUCUCCAAAAUUUUAAACAAGGAAAGGAAGUAAAUAUUUCUUUAUCUCUUUUUCGAUGUAUGGCCCUAUAGUUGGCCAAAAAUGAUUGCUUCUGUUGUUAGAUAGUCAUGUAUAUUUAAGAUUAAAGAAGGUGAUAUUGUUGUGCAAAUAUGAGAGUAAAUUGACAGACAGAUAACCUAAAAAAGUACAGUAAAAUAAAGUUAAGAGUUGUGAUGAUUA